ACAUGCAAGUCGAGCGGAAACGAAGAGUAGCUUGCUACUCUGGCGUCGAGCGGCGGACGGGUGAGUAAUGCUUGGGAACAUGCCUUGAGGUGGGGGACAACAGUUGGAAACGACUGCUAAUACCGCAUAAUGUCUACGGACCAAAGGGGGCUUCGGCUCUCGCCUUUAGAUUGGCCCAAGUGGGAUUAGCUAGUUGGUGAGGUAAUGGCUCACCAAGGCGACGAUCCCUAGCUGGUUUGAGAGGAUGAUCAGCCACACUGGGACUGAGACACGGCCCAGACUCCUACGGGAGGCAGCAGUGGGGAAUAUUGCACAAUGGGCGCAAGCCUGAUGCAGCCAUGCCGCGUGUGUGAAGAAGGCCUUCGGGUUGUAAAGCACUUUCAGUCAGGAGGAAAGGUUAGUAGUUAAUACCUGCUAGCUGUGACGUUACUGACAGAAGAAGCACCGGCUAACUCCGUGCCAGCAGCCGCGGUAAUACGGAGGGUGCGAGCGUUAAUCGGAAUUACUGGGCGUAAAGCGUACGCAGGCGGUUUUG
This 535-nucleotide ribosomal RNA is filed under the name uncultured Pseudoalteromonas sp. RNAcentral's name for it is "bacterial SSU rRNA". It matches the Rfam family "Bacterial small subunit ribosomal RNA", at positions 53 to 583 of the family's 1533-position model. Lineage: Bacteria; Pseudomonadati; Pseudomonadota; Gammaproteobacteria; Alteromonadales; Pseudoalteromonadaceae. The record is from RNAcentral.